This 261-nucleotide ribosomal RNA is filed under the name uncultured prokaryote. RNAcentral's name for it is "partial 16S ribosomal RNA". It matches the Rfam family "Bacterial small subunit ribosomal RNA", at positions 524 to 782 of the family's 1533-position model. The record is from RNAcentral.
UACGUAGGUGGCAAGCGUUGUCCGGAAUUACUGGGCGUAAAGGGCGCGCAGGCUGUUAUGCGAGUCUGCUGUGAAAUGUACCGGCUCAACCGGUGCCUUGCGGCGGAUACUGCAUAGCUGGAGUACUGGAGAGGGAAGUGGAAUUCCCGGUGUAGUGGUGGAAUGCGUAGAUAUCGGGAGGAAUACCAGUGGCGAAGGCGGCACCCUGGCAUUGACCUGACGCUGAGGUGCGAAAGCGUGGGGAGGCGAACGGGGAUUAGA